CAACCCUCAGGUCCCCCUUUUCGGAGGGGGAGACACCCUGGUGUUGGGGGACGGCAUCCUGGCCCGCUGUCUCACAGUGUGCCACGCCGCCCCCGAAAUGAAUUGGCGGCCUCGUCGCGUGCCACCCCUGCGUAGUAGCACAACCUCGCAACGGGAGCCCGACGCGGCCACUGCCGUAAAACGCCCAACUUUUACCG
Molecule: unclassified non-coding RNA, 197 nt
Filed under: uncultured Ascomycota
Lineage: Eukaryota; Fungi; Ascomycota
Description: sequence contains ITS2
Source: RNAcentral